Long non-coding RNA from Triticum aestivum (bread wheat), 1525 nucleotides. RefSeq lists it as uncharacterized. The record is from RefSeq and is a predicted model, not a curated record. Lineage: Eukaryota; Viridiplantae; Streptophyta; Magnoliopsida; Poales; Poaceae. The transcript has 3 exons.
CAUCCCGCGCAUUCCAACCCAAUCUUUUCUCCACCCCGCACGGCCGGCCGCCCCCAUCUCGUGGUCAGAGCGGUUUCGCUUAUUUUCCCCUGUUGAUUACCCAACAAAGCACCGGAAUCGUUUCCUUCUCACUUCAGUUUCUCCCCCACCAUAAAUCUUUCCCCAAUCCUCGUGGUGUGGCGGCUGGACGGCAAUCUCCUCGCGUCAAUUCCGCCGUUGUUACUCCCCUUCGAUGCCUCCCUGCGCGAUGUGACGCGGGCGGAGCUGCGGUUCCAUCGCCGCCCACCGAGAACAUUGAGUUGCGCAACCAAAUCAGGUUGUGUGCACUCCAUCACUCUGCUCAUGACCCUCCUCGCGCCGGAAGCAGCCAUCCCUGCCGCGGCGCUCGAUCUGAAAAAUAGUUCGCGUUCCGGCAGGAGGAGCUCGCCAAGGAGAAGCUGCUGGGACGGUAGGCAUCCACGAGGGCCGCCUGUUCCUCUUCUACAAGGCCCCCCAGGAGUGGUCAUCCCACGUUUAGGCCGACCGCCUCCCCGCCUCCUUGCUGCAGGUCAUAAGCCUAACCCGAACAAGACCGUACGCUGAAGGCAUGCCCAUUGAUGCCAUUUUAUUUUCAGUAACAGUGGGUAUGUCAUGUACACAUACUUUUUCUGACUAUCAAAUCAAACAGAGAUUGGGUUUUUGAGCUACAUAUCCGCGCCUCAAGCCCUCGCCGAGUUGACAGAUGGUUUGGACCUUUCUUGAUUAAUGCAACUCCGUUAAAUUUCAGCGUUCCUGCUUUCACAUUUAUUGCAAAUAUGGAGGGUUGUUGAUUAUUUCUUCAGGUAUAUAUGUUUUGCAAGAUUUCAGUCGAGAUCGAGUAUAGCAGUUUCUCUGUCAAUGAUUUCAAAUAUCAAAACCUUUGCACCCCGUUGGCACCACAUGUCUUUAUAACAUUAUCCAUUCAUUAAGUCCAUUUACAUAUAAACAUGGAAUGUUCUCAAAGAUAAUCUCUUUUUUUUUUCAGAGUAUUCUCAAAGAUAAUCUCAACGCCACACAUACGAUCAUAUAGUUCUUGACUCAACCAAAUGAAGCAAUUUCAUUAGAGUAGAUAUUUUACUAAAUGGCAUUCAUGUUAAUCCUUUCAUGCACGUCAGCAUAUGUCGUACCACCACCAGAUAGCCAACAUUUUUUUCUUUCCUUAAUGUGCACCUCCCAGUUAGUUGAUUGGCAAGUUUUAGUUCUCAUACUAUUAAUUCAACUAUUCACAUUUCGUGUAACUAAAUCUCACUGAACUAUGUUACAAGCAAUUCCAGCAGCAACGCGCGGGGUAUCAUCUAGUUACAGACAAAGUGAUGGCAUCACAAUUAGCGUUAGGAACUGCAUGUGAUGGUGAAAGUCUAAUAAAAAGAUGCGGCACUGCAUUCCUUUGGUCAGCGGUGUUCAUAUUUUUGCAACUCAUUCUCUUGGACGUGAUUACCAAAUAGCCUGUCCUGUACUGAUAUGGUAUUGAUUAUGAACGUGAUUGAUUCCUUUAUUUUAAUUUAUA